UGAGGGAAUAUUGGGUCAAUGGACGAGAGUCUGAACCAGCCAAGUAGCGUGCAGGAUGACGGCCCUCCGGGUUGUAAACUGCUUUUAGUUGGGAAUAAAGUUCGGGACGUGUCCCGAUUUGUAUGUACCAUCAGAAAAAGGACCGGCUAAUUCCGUGCCAGCAGCCGCGGUAAUACGGAAGGUCCGGGCGUUAUCCGGAUUUAUUGGGUUUAAAGGGCAUGCAGGCGGUUCAUCAAGUAGGAUGUGAAAUCCCCGGGCUCAACCUGGGAACAGCAUACUAAACUGGUGGACUAGAGUAUUGCAGGGGGAGACGGAAUUCCAGGUGUAGCGGUGGAAUGCGUAGAUAUCUGGAAGAACACCAAAGGC
RNAcentral lists this ribosomal RNA (366 nucleotides) under uncultured Prevotellaceae bacterium. RNAcentral's name for it is "bacterial SSU rRNA". It matches the Rfam family "Bacterial small subunit ribosomal RNA", at positions 354 to 716 of the family's 1533-position model. The record is from RNAcentral. Lineage: Bacteria; Pseudomonadati; Bacteroidota; Bacteroidia; Bacteroidales; Prevotellaceae.